This 253-nucleotide ribosomal RNA is filed under the name uncultured bacterium. RNAcentral's name for it is "partial 16S ribosomal RNA". It matches the Rfam family "Bacterial small subunit ribosomal RNA", at positions 524 to 776 of the family's 1533-position model. The record is from RNAcentral.
UACGGAGGGUGCGAGCGUUGUCCGGAAUCAUUGGGCGUAAAGGGCGCGUAGGUGGCGGGACAAGCGUGCGGUGAAAGCUCGGGGCUCAACCCCGCGUCGGCCGUGCGAACUGUUUUGCUUGAGCACUGUAGAGGCAGGCGGAAUUCCGGGUGUAGCGGUGAAAUGCGCAGAUAUCAGGAGGAACACCGGUGGCGAAGGCGGGUCUCUGGGCCGAUACUGACGCUGAGGAGCGAAAGCGUGGGGAGCGAACAGG